UGCAUGUUUAUGAAGCGACUUGGUUGCGGAUUGAUAGACGGCUCAGUAAUACUGCGAUGAUUUGAUUGAUAAUUGUUUGUAACUACGGGAAACUGUAGGUAGGGAUGUGUAGGAUACGAUUGUAUGUGUGUUGAGUAAGUUGCAGGCCUAUCAACUGGUAGUUAGGGUAAUGGCCUAACUAGGUAGUGACGGGAGACGGGGGAUUAGGGUUUGAUUCCGGAGAGGGAGCCUGAGAGAUGGCUACUACGUCCAAGGAUGGCAGCAGGCGCGAAACUUGCCAAAUCUUUGUAAUAGGAGGCAGUGAUGAGACGUGAGGUUUUAGUGGUGCAUUGUAAAGAGAUGUACUGAUAUUGGAGGGCAAGUCGGGUGCCAGCAGCCGCGGUAAUACCUGCUCCGAUAGUGUCUAUGGUUAAUGCUGCAGUUAAAAAGUCCAUAGUUUUUAUUUUAGUUGUAUGUUUUGUGAUGCUUGUGUUUUAGGGGCUAUGGAUGUACAAAUAGUUGUGCGCAACGGAUGAGGGGCAUUGGAUAGUUGGGCGAGAGGUGAAAUGUGAUGACCCUGGCUGGACGAACUGAAGCGAAAGCGAUGCUCUUGGAUGGAUGUGUGGAUCAAGGACGAAGGCUGGAGGAUCGAAAUCGAUUAGAUACCGUUUUAGUUCCAGCAGUAAACGAUGCCGACUGGAUGGUGUUUGUAUGAGCACUGUGCGAGAGAAAAUGAUAAGUAUGUGGGUUUUGGGGAUAGUAUGUUCGCAAGAGUGAAACUUAAAGAGAUU
Molecule: ribosomal RNA, 770 nt
Filed under: Microsporidium sp. BWOH5
Lineage: Eukaryota; Fungi; Microsporidia
Description: SSU rRNA
Rfam family: Microsporidia small subunit ribosomal RNA
Source: RNAcentral